Molecule: ribosomal RNA, 458 nt
Filed under: uncultured bacterium
Lineage: Bacteria
Description: partial 16S ribosomal RNA
Rfam family: Bacterial small subunit ribosomal RNA
Source: RNAcentral
CCUACGGGAGGCUGCAGUGAGGAAUAUUGGUCAAUGGGCGAGAGCCUGAACCAGCCAAGUCGCGUGAGGGAGUACUGCCCUAUGGGUUGUAAACCUCUUUUGUCGGGGAGCAAAAGCCGGACGUGUCCGGCUGUGAGAGUACCCGAAGAAAAAGCAUCGGCUAACUCCGUGCCAGCAGCCGCGGUAAUACGGAGGAUGCGAGCGUUAUCCGGAUUUAUUGGGUGUAAAGGGUGCGCAGGCGGAUUUUUAAGUCAGCGGUAAAAUCGUGGGGCUCAACCCCAUCCAGCCGUUGAAACUGGGGAUCUAGAGUGUGCGAGAGGUAUGCGGAAUGCGUGGUGUAGCGGUGAAAUGCAUAGAUAUCACGCAGAACCCCGAUUGCGAAGGCAGCAUACCGGUGCACAACUGACGCUCAGGCACGAAAGCGUGGGUAUCGAACAGGAUUAGAUACCCUUGUAGUC